UAUUAGUCAAUGCUCGCAAGAGUGAACUAGCUAACUGAAAUCAAAGGUGUGUCACCUUUGAUAAGGUAAGGGAAAAGAAAAGAUACUACCUUACUAUUAGUGUCGUCCAAGUACUCGUGCCAGAAGACUCGGUAAGGCGAGAGACGCAAACGUUAGUCGUCUUGAUCAGGCGUAAAGGGUUUGUAGGCGGCUUUAAGAAUGGAUUUCUUCUAAAUUACACUCUUAUUUAAGAUCAUUACUUAAGAACAUGGAAGGAAAAAAUCAAUUAAAGCUAGAAUCAAAUAGAGGUCAAAUUAAAUAAUACUUGGUGUAAGAUUGGUAUCUUUAAAAACCAAGCGGAAUACUAACGGCGAAGGCUUUUUUCCAUUAAUGAUUGACGCUGAGAAACUAAGGUGAGGACAGAAAAAAGGAUUAGAGACCCUCGUAUCCCUCACUGUCAACGAUGAAUGGUAGUUACUAGAUAAAUAAUAAAAUAUUUCUAGAGACGAUGUUAACACGAAAACCAUUCCGCCUUGUGAGUACGACUGCAAAGUUGAAAACAAAAAAAUUAGUCGGUUUCGGAGCAAACGAAGUGAAGCAUGUUAUUUA
This 588-nucleotide ribosomal RNA is filed under the name Xylodon crystalliger. RNAcentral describes it as "SSU rRNA". It matches the Rfam family "Bacterial small subunit ribosomal RNA", at positions 362 to 948 of the family's 1533-position model. The record is from RNAcentral. Lineage: Eukaryota; Fungi; Basidiomycota; Agaricomycetes; Hymenochaetales; Schizoporaceae.